GGAAGAGUUUGCUGGUCUGGUGACCGCCACGGUCUUCAAAACCGUUGAGUGGUGUUAACGCAUCACUGGUGGGUUCGAUUCCCAUCCUCUUCCG
Molecule: transfer RNA, 94 nt
Filed under: Fuerstiella sp.
Lineage: Bacteria; Pseudomonadati; Planctomycetota; Planctomycetia; Planctomycetales; Planctomycetaceae
Description: tRNA-Sec
Rfam family: Selenocysteine transfer RNA
Source: RNAcentral